This 404-nucleotide ribosomal RNA is filed under the name Verrucomicrobiota bacterium. RNAcentral describes it as "Verrucomicrobia bacterium partial 16S ribosomal RNA". It matches the Rfam family "Bacterial small subunit ribosomal RNA", at positions 355 to 776 of the family's 1533-position model. Lineage: Bacteria; Pseudomonadati; Verrucomicrobiota. The record is from RNAcentral.
UGGGGAAUAUUGGACAAUGGGCGCAAGCCUGAUCCAGCCAUGCCGCGUGAGUGAUGAAGGCCCUAGGGUUGUAAAGCUCUUUCACCGGUGAAGAUAAUGACGGUAACCGGAGAAGAAGCCCCGGCUAACUUCGUGCCAGCAGCCGCGGUAAUACGAAGGGGGCUAGCGUUGUUCGGAUUUACUGGGCGUAAAGCGCACGUAGGCGGACUUUUAAGUCAGGGGUGAAAUCCCGGGGCUCAACCCCGGAACUGCCUUUGAUACUGGAAGUCUUGAGUAUGGUAGAGGUGAGUGGAAUUCCGAGUGUAGAGAUGAAAUUCGUAGAUAUUCGGGGGAACACCAGUGGCGAAGGCGGCUCACUGGACCAUUACUGACGCUGAGGUGCGAAAGCGUGGGGAGCAAACAGG